RNAcentral lists this ribosomal RNA (1289 nucleotides) under Bacillus safensis. RNAcentral's name for it is "bacterial SSU rRNA". It matches the Rfam family "Bacterial small subunit ribosomal RNA", at positions 39 to 1323 of the family's 1533-position model. Lineage: Bacteria; Bacillati; Bacillota; Bacilli; Caryophanales; Bacillaceae. The record is from RNAcentral.
GCGGUCCGGCUUCCUAUAAUGCAGUUCGAGCGAACAGAAGGGGAAGCUUGCUCCCGGAUGUUAGCGGCGGACGGGUGAGUAACACGUGGGUAACCUGCCUGUAAGACUGGGAUAACUCCGGGAAACCGGAGCUAAUACCGGAUAGUUCCUUGAACCGCAUGGUUCAAGGAUGAAAGACGGUUUCGGCUGUCACUUACAGAUGGACCCGCGGCGCAUUAGCUAGUUGGUGGGGUAAUGGCUCACCAAGGCGACGAUGCGUAGCCGACCUGAGAGGGUGAUCGGCCACACUGGGACUGAGACACGGCCCAGACUCCUACGGGAGGCAGCAGUAGGGAAUCUUCCGCAAUGGACGAAAGUCUGACGGAGCAACGCCGCGUGAGUGAUGAAGGUUUUCGGAUCGUAAAGCUCUGUUGUUAGGGAAGAACAAGUGCGAGAGUAACUGCUCGCACCUUGACGGUACCUAACCAGAAAGCCACGGCUAACUACGUGCCAGCAGCCGCGGUAAUACGUAGGUGGCAAGCGUUGUCCGGAAUUAUUGGGCGUAAAGGGCUCGCAGGCGGUUUCUUAAGUCUGAUGUGAAAGCCCCCGGCUCAACCGGGGAGGGUCAUUGGAAACUGGGAAACUUGAGUGCAGAAGAGGAGAGUGGAAUUCCACGUGUAGCGGUGAAAUGCGUAGAGAUGUGGAGGAACACCAGUGGCGAAGGCGACUCUCUGGUCUGUAACUGACGCUGAGGAGCGAAAGCGUGGGGAGCGAACAGGAUUAGAUACCCUGGUAGUCCACGCCGUAAACGAUGAGUGCUAAGUGUUAGGGGGUUUCCGCCCCUUAGUGCUGCAGCUAACGCAUUAAGCACUCCGCCUGGGGAGUACGGUCGCAAGACUGAAACUCAAAGGAAUUGACGGGGGCCCGCACAAGCGGUGGAGCAUGUGGUUUAAUUCGAAGCAACGCGAAGAACCUUACCAGGUCUUGACAUCCUCUGACAACCCUAGAGAUAGGGCUUUCCCUUCGGGGACAGAGUGACAGGUGGUGCAUGGUGUCGUCAGCUCGUGUCGUGAGAUGUUGGUAGUCCCGCACGAGCGCACCCUUGAUCUAGUGCAGCAUUAGUGGGCACUCUAAGUGACUGCGGUGACAAACCGGAGAAGGUGGGGGAUGACGUCAAUCAUCAUGCCCCUUAUGACCUGGGCUUACACACGUGCUACAAUGGGACAGAACAAGGCUUGCGAACGCAAGGUAGCAUCCCAUAAUCUGUUCUCAGUCGAAUCCCGUCUUGCAACUUCGACAUGGGCGUGUGA